RNAcentral lists this ribosomal RNA (518 nucleotides) under uncultured bacterium. RNAcentral's name for it is "bacterial SSU rRNA". It matches the Rfam family "Bacterial small subunit ribosomal RNA", at positions 777 to 1297 of the family's 1533-position model. The record is from RNAcentral.
AAUAGAUCCCGGUAGUCCACGCCGUAAACGAUGUCGACUUGGAGGUUGUGCCCUUGAGGCGUGGCUUCCGGAGCUAACGCGUUAAGUCGACCGCCUGGGGAGUACGGCCGCAAGGUUAAAACUCAAAUGAAUUGACGGGGGCCCGCACAAGCGGUGGAGCAUGUGGUUUAAUUCGAUGCAACGCGAAGAACCUUACCUACUCUUGACAUCCAGAGAACUUAGCAGAGAUGCUUUGGUGCCUUCGGGAACUCUGAGACAGGUGCUGCAUGGCUGUCGUCAGCUCGUGUUGUGAAAUGUUGGGUUAAGUCCCGCAACGAGCGCAACCCUUAUCCUUUGUUGCCAGCGGUUAGGCCGGGAACUCAAAGGAGACUGCCAGUGAUAAACUGGAGGAAGGUGGGGAUGACGUCACGUCAUCAUGGCCCUUACGAGUAGGGCUACACACGUGCUACAAUGGCAUAUACAAAGAGAAGCGACCUCGCGAGAGCAAGCGGACCUCAUAAAGUAUGUCGUAGUCCGGA